CGGCGGACGGGUGCGUAACGCGUAUGUAACCUACCUUUGACAGGGGGAUAACAUCGAGAAAUUGGUACUAAUACCCCAUAACAUCACCGGAGGCAUCUUCGGUGGUUGAAAACUCAGGUGGUCAGAGAUGGACAUGCGUUGUAUUAGCUAGUUGGUGAGGUAACGGCUCACCAAGGCGACGAUACAUAGGGGGACUGAGAGGUCAACCCCCCACAUUGGUACUGAGACACGGACCAAACUCCUACGGAAGGCAGCAG
RNAcentral lists this ribosomal RNA (257 nucleotides) under uncultured bacterium. Its description in RNAcentral is "partial 16S ribosomal RNA". It matches the Rfam family "Bacterial small subunit ribosomal RNA", at positions 96 to 354 of the family's 1533-position model. The record is from RNAcentral.